Mercurialis annua (annual mercury) is the source of this 6788-nucleotide long non-coding RNA. RefSeq lists it as uncharacterized. Lineage: Eukaryota; Viridiplantae; Streptophyta; Magnoliopsida; Malpighiales; Euphorbiaceae. The record is from RefSeq and is a predicted model, not a curated record. The transcript has 4 exons.
UUUUAAAAAUACCAAGUAAGAUGCCACGAGGCAUAAGUGCGAUAAUUUAAUCAAUGACAUCAGAAUAAUGUUCGAGAAAUAAGAAUUUAGAUCGAAGCGGGUCAAUUAAAACUUAUUGUAAAAUAAUAAUUUAAGUGGAGAUUAUUAAUUGAUAAAUUGGAUUUUAGCGGGACUAAAGAAAGGUCAAAAAAAUAAAAUAAAAUAAAUGGUAAGUCCCGAAUUAAUAAAUUUUACGAUAAAGUUCGUAAAAUAAAUUUGUGGAGCAAAGAUCAAAUUUUGCACAGUUUGGACGAAAAUAAUUUUGUAAGCGGAAUUUCGCUAUUCGGAAAGAAAGAAAAAUGCUAAGUAAGUAAAUUGGAAAGCCGAGCUAAUAACUUUCACGCCAAGAUCCGUGAAAUGUUAAUAAUAAAUUAUCGUCAAGCUUUUAUAAAUUUACGAAACCGUUUUAAAAUUGGACGCGACAUUAGUUAAGGAAUUGGACUAUAUUGCAAGGGAAGUUUGAUGAGUUAAAGUGGCACUUUUGCCCACUAAAUGACCCCCUAUGUAAGGACACUUGAAUCAUCAUCUUCUUCAUUUUACUUAAUAGCCAAAGAAAACCAAAAACCCCAUUUUUCUUUAUAAAUGGCCGAACCCUACUUUCCCUCUACACAACUCACCAAUUCUCAACCAAAGUCUAUAAUUUUGGAGGCAAAACAAUCACAAGUUAAGGGAGAUUAAGGUGUUAAGCUAUGGUUUUGGAGCUUUGACUUAGAGUUUUGAUGGUGAAUUUUGGAGGAGUUCACUUCGGCCAAGGGCAUAAUUGAUAAAACUCAAGUGUUUUAUUUCAGGUGAUAGUAUUUGAAGAGAUGGACUUCCAUUCUUGUUCCGGAAGUCUACAACAUAUAAAGUAUGUAUUGAAGUACGCUUCAAAUCGUAGCGCUGCAGUAGUCAGUAGAUGUCAGUCUAGAUUUGAUUGUUUGUACCGAACGAGAUCCAGCUGUUAACUCUGAUUUUAUAAAAUAUAUAUAUACGAUUUAUAAAACUAUGUUUUUACCCGUUUGAUAUUUCACCAAUUGUCUAUAAAUGAAAUUGGUAUAAAAUUGUUUGGUUCGGAACAAGGCAAUGCUGAGUUAUGUUAUCGCAGAGUAAGACCUUGGUUCAUAUCGAUUAUGUAUCGGUUUUCAAAGAACGUUUUCGACGCAUAUGAAAUAUUGUUUUACGAUGUUUUUCCCGAAAACGUUUUGUGCAUAACUUUGUGUUUGAUUGCGAAAAAAAUUUACUCGUUUUUUUAGGCUUGCUACGGGUUCCGGAGCAACCACUCCCGUUCCCUAGCGCCGGUCUCGGCCCUCGAUUUCGGGUCGUGACAAAGGUGGUAUCAGAGCAGUUGGUCCAGGAUAUCACUGCUUUGUGUGUCAGUCUACCUAGGAACUACUGCAGCACGUAAGAUUCGAGUCAUGUCUUUGAUCGGUUUUCGUCUGAUUUUAAAACUUUCAACUCUCCUCUCUAGGAUGCGAGUCUGUUAGGACGUUCAAUAGGAUUGUUUGACGAGAAACGCAUGCGUAGAUAUUCCGUUUAUGCCUAGAUAUUCGGCUUAUGUUUAGAUGCUUCGCUUAAGCGUUGAUAUGCCGCUUUCGCGCUCAGGUUUGAUACUUAGAUAUAUGUUUGGCAUCUUAGUAUGACAUAAUCAUGUUGCAAUUGUUGUAAGUUAUGACAUGCGAACUGGAUAAACAGUAUUUCUACGACUCGAUGACAAACCUAGUGUAUUAAGCAUUGUGCGAUAUGGACAUGCUAUCGAAGUUCUACGAUGAAGACACCAAGGGAUGAUUGAUAGAAAGGCGUGGGUCCAAGGAAGUGGAAGAACCUUAAAGUUACAGAGUCUAAGGUCUGGAGAACUUACAAAACUAAAGAUUUAUAACUCGUUCAAAGUUAUUUGUUUAAACGGUUUUAUAAGUAUAAUUGUGCCUAGACCCAAGAUAGAAUUGCAUUACUGCCACGACAUAACUAGAAUUGCAUCACUACAUACAUGAAUACAUGCAUCAAUAGGACAUGCAUCAUAUGCAUUUUACUCAGACGAGAGGUAAGUUGUGGCAACUCUUUGGGGAUGAGAGAUGUCAUCACCCUAGGGCACAAUUAUGCUAAUGUUUAAAAGAUUUAAAUAUGAUUUUCGAAAAAGGGCCCUUUCCUUUGAAUUUCAAGGAUGAUUGAAUUAUGAUUUAAAGAGAUUUGUUUUAAUGUAAGUAUACCUAGACUGGAACUCUGUAACGAAGGUGAAAUGUUUGCUAUCAAGCUACAAGCAACUCUCGAAGACACAACGAACGUGUAUAAGAGCGUGUAGGAGUUACAUUUUGAAAAGGCACGAAGCUAGCCAAAGUUCCACAAUCCAUUACGGGAUUAGAAGAACAAGGUGACACAAGUAGUAAAGUGAAAUAGAUUGAACGAUGAAUUAGGAUGCACCUAUUUUUAAACGAGGUGAUUAGAGAAUCAUGCUACAAAACAAUAGAAGUAUGAAAGGUGAUAGUUGAACAUAGAAAUCGAUCCAUAGCUUAAACAUUAGAGAUAGAAGGUAAUCUCUACGAAUGGAUGAUGCGAAUUUUACGCGAUAUCAUAAGAUCGUUAAGUCUAGUAAAACUAAAAUAUCUUUUGAUUGAACCGUUGGAACGAUUCAAAUUCGGAGUAUGACAUUCCUAAAAUGGUUAUUUAGGAGCUAACUGUUGCGAUCGUCGAACUGAAAACUAAGCGGCAGUUUUCAUAUGAACGUUGACAGUAGGUUUAUAUACAUGAUCAAUCUAAAGGAUGAAUUGUGAAAGUCUAAAGUAUAUAAGGAUUACGAACAUAAGAUACAUAUAAGAUAUAUAUGGUGUGAAAAACAUGAUUAAUGAAGUUAAAUGAUGGAUUCCAUAAAUUGUAUGCUAAGAAGUUGUAAGACUAGGCAGCAUGUUUUACAGUUAAGACAUUCUGACCUACAUAUUAAAGGACAAGUAUACGUACGAGGAACAUAUACAAGUAUAAGAUUAUAAGAUCUGCAUAUGAAUGACAUAGAGCAAGAAGCUUAGUACGAAAACUAUGAAAGGUUUUCGAUGAUCUUUAAACGGGAAUGUAAGCGAUGAUUACCAGGAUGUAAGAUACACGAGAUGGCGAAGAUCAUGUCAAGGAUAUAAAGUUUAAAGGUUCAUAAGUUGAAAUCAAUGAAGGAGUUAGAAUAAAUUAAUGUUUGAGAUAUGUAACGUGUUAAGGACGAAGGUAUUUAGAUAAGAACUUAAUAAAAGAGAGGGAAUACCUUAAUAUAAGCAAGCAUUACAUAAAGGAAAGUUAAGUUACUUUAAGAUUUAAAGAAAAAGAAAGCUAUAGGAAUCAAUGAGGACACAAAGACCCUAAUUGAGGAAAACUACGAUGGAUUAAGUAUGGGGGUAAGGGAAAACCGCUCUUUGGAUGCAAAAGAAAAAGUAAAUGCCAAAGAUACCUACUGAUGAAGUAAAGAAGGAGAAGAAAAUUAAUAGUUAGAGUUCUGACACUGAGAAUGAAGUUGUGGUAUAAAGACAUCGUGCCAAUAGACGACAUAAUUAGUUUGACGUUGUGUAACCUCAACGUAAUAGGUACAUCGAUUGUAUCUAAAUUGUACAUCAAAGGAUGACAAAAAUUUAUUCUUGGAUUGUUGGUAAAAGUUGUUAAGGGUUCAUAAAGGAUUUGGAUAAGAAGAACGGACACGAGGAACGUUAAUGAUUGAUGCUUCAACUUUUGAGAAGUUGACGGAACAAGAUUAAACUGUCUAAUGACAAUGAUGUUUAAUUUAAGAUCUGGGAAGUCUCAAGAGGCGUCUGGACAGGUCGAGACGAUUAUAUAAGGACGUAACCAUUACAAGGAAAGAAAUCAAUGAAGUCUUAAAUUAUGGAAAAUAUUACAAAGGUCAAAUAUAAGAUUUGACAUGGAUUUUGCACGAGAAAUCAAGAAGUUUUAAAGGAAUGCGAUAGUGGAAGAUUAGGAUUAGUCUUAAUGACAUAAUAAAGGUCAGUGUUGGAUGCAUCACAUAAGUAUUAGCGAAUAUUAAUGCAUUGGGUAUUGAGGUGAUCCAAGGAAAAUCACGUUUAAGAUUGUCACUGGAGGUGCAACAAUGUAAAAUGGAAUGACAGACAGCGACAAAGAAGUAAAUGAUUAAGGAAAUAAACAAAAGUAUAUGUUAUAAGUUGCGAAAGUUAUGAGAAAGGUAGUACUGAUGAAUGGAACUACGAUGUACGAAGUGGAGUAAUGCGUUACGAUAAGGAUAAAUUGUGAGUAAAAGUAUGUGUAAAAAGUUGGAUUAUAAAGAAACUACAAGGAAGAAAUGAAGAAUGAUAAUAGAAGUCUAAAGAUGUUACUUCUACAAUUCCAAAUAUAGGUCAUCUAUGAAUCUAUAACCCAACGUAGAAUGACUUUUAUGAAGGAGGUAUAUCGAAAAAAAGAAGUAAAGUAUCUAUCAAGCAUGAGAACCAAAAGGAUAAUCAAGUUUAAUUAAUUAAACUUGAUGCAUACGAAAAUUAUGGGACUUUAUAAGGACUCGAAGAAAAGUUACUUGGGAAACUUCAGCGUAGUAGUUUUAACGAACAAUAUAGCAAUAUAACAGCGCGAAGAAUAAGAUCAAAUACAGAAAAGUGUCAUUAGAUGAAGAAUAUCUAAUGAAAACAAUAAGACACUAAGGUAAAGAGAACACUGGUAGCUAUUAACAAAAAUAGACUACUAAACUAACCCGCAACUUGGAAGUAUGAAAUACAGUCUUAAGGAAGGAAAAAGUGAUACCAGUCCGAUAAAUAGAAAUGGAAUUAAAGGAUCGACAAAUGAGAUAUACCAUGGAAGAUGGACCCGAAACAAAUCAAAUAAUUCCAAGAGUGCACUCAACUUCAUGAGAAAACCAUGAAGUAUGAUUAAGAAAUAUUAAGUUAAACUUUACGCGUUUAGGAGAACGUGUACGAAUAACGUAGAAGGGGGCAGACACUACGAAGAGAUUGGCAUGGUUUAAGGAUGACCACUUCGAUAAAGACAUAGACAUAUAUAUGGAACAAUUUUGAGAGAAACUCGACUCAUGAUACAAGAUCAUGAUGUUAACAAGUUAACGAAGCAAAGUUAACAAUACAUAACAAGGACAUAAUACCUUUUUAAUCUACAACCAACUAGAGUAAAGUUAAGUAUCAGAAGAAGGAAAGUAUUGAUAAAAUAAUGGACAUAAAGUCAAGGUUAGUAAAACUACAGGUGAAGCAAUUACUUUGGAUAAGUAAUUUGAGUAAUGGAAAAUUCAAAAAAACUUUGCCAACAGCAAGUAAGUGGAAAAUCACCAAGGAAUUGACAAUGUGAAAAGUUUCAAGACAACAAUGAUUGUAAAUGUGAAAGUGUAUUAUGCUUAAAAAGGUAAAGUAUAAGAAGCAAGAAUUUAAGUCUUAACAAGGAGGAAUAAGAACUGUUAAGAAGUGUAAUACUUGAUGGAUAAGAGUAUUACUAUAAUUAUGAAAAUUCGAGGACGAAUUUUUAUAAGGGGGGAAGAAUGUAAUACCCCGUACUUUUAAAAAUACCAAGUAAGAUGCCACGAGGCAUAAGUGCGAUAAUUUAAUCAAUGACAUCAGAAUAAUGUUCGAGAAAUAAGAAUUUAGAUCGAAGCGGGUCAAUUAAAACUUAUUGUAAAAUAAUAAUUUAAGUGGAGAUUAUUAAUUGAUAAAUUGGAUUUUAGCGGGACUAAAGAAAGGUCAAAAAAAUAAAAUAAAAUAAAUGGUAAGUCCCGAAUUAAUAAAUUUUACGAUAAAGUUCGUAAAAUAAAUUUGUGGAGCAAAGAUCAAAUUUUGCACAGUUUGGACGAAAAUAAUUUUGUAAGCGGAAUUUCGCUAUUCGGAAAGAAAGAAAAAUGCUAAGUAAGUAAAUUGGAAAGCCGAGCUAAUAACUUUCACGCCAAGAUCCGUGAAAUGUUAAUAAUAAAUUAUCGUCAAGCUUUUAUAAAUUUACGAAACCGUUUUAAAAUUGGACGCGACAUUAGUUAAGGAAUUGGACUAUAUUGCAAGGGAAGUUUGAUGAGUUAAAGUGGCACUUUUGCCCACUAAAUGACCCCCUAUGUAAGGACACUUGAAUCAUCAUCUUCUUCAUUUUACUUAAUAGCCAAAGAAAACCAAAAACCCCAUUUUUCUUUAUAAAUGGCCGAACCCUACUUUCCCUCUACACAACUCACCAAUUCUCAACCAAAGUCUAUAAUUUUGGAGGCAAAACAAUCACAAGUUAAGGGAGAUUAAGGUGUUAAGCUAUGGUUUUGGAGCUUUGACUUAGAGUUUUGAUGGUGAAUUUUGGAGGAGUUCACUUCGGCCAAGGGCAUAAUUGAUAAAACUCAAGACCCGGCGAGAGAUUACUAAGGGGACUCAGAACGUGACGAACGCUAUACCGCUUUGUUAAUUCUCAAAGAUUAUGGAUAGCAAGUGUGUUUUAUUUCAGGUGAUAGUAUUUGAAGAGAUGGACUUCCAUUCUUGUUCCGGAAGUCUACAACAUAUAAAGUAUGUAUUGAAGUACGCUUCAAAUCGUAGCGCUGCAGUAGUCAGUAGAUGUCAGUCUAGAUUUGAUUGUUUGUACCGAACGAGAUCCAGCUGUUAACUCUGAUUUUAUAAAAUAUAUAUAUACGAUUUAUAAAACUAUGUUUUUACCCGUUUGAUAUUUCACCAAUUGUCUAUGAAUGAAAUUGGUAUAAAAUUGUUUGGUUCGGAACAAGGCAAUGCUGAGUUAUGUUAUCGCAGAGUAAGACCUUGGUUCAUAUCGAUUAUGUAUCGGUUUUCAAAGAACGUUUUCGACGCAUAUGAAAUAUUGUUUUA